GGAGAGGUGGCAGAGUGGACUAAUGCGGCGGUCUCGAAAACCGUAGCGUCGGUAAUCCCGGCGCCGGGGGUUCGAAUCCCCCCCUCUCCG
This 90-nucleotide transfer RNA is filed under the name Rubrobacter sp. RNAcentral's name for it is "tRNA-Ser". It matches the Rfam family "tRNA". Rfam says of the family: Transfer RNA (tRNA) molecules are approximately 80 nucleotides in length. Their secondary structure includes four short double-helical elements and three loops (D, anti-codon, and T loops). Further hydrogen bonds mediate the characteristic L-shaped molecular structure. tRNAs have two regions of fundamental functional importance: the anti-codon, which is responsible for specific mRNA codon recognition, and the 3' end, to which the tRNAs corresponding amino acid is attached (by aminoacyl-tRNA synthetases). tRNAs cope with the degeneracy of the genetic code in two manners: having more than one tRNA (with a specific anti-codon) for a particular amino acid; and 'wobble' base-pairing, i.e. permitting non-standard base-pairing at the 3rd anti-codon position. The record is from RNAcentral. RNAcentral also lists the same sequence under 1 other name. Lineage: Bacteria; Bacillati; Actinomycetota; Rubrobacteria; Rubrobacterales; Rubrobacteraceae.